RNAcentral lists this ribosomal RNA (706 nucleotides) under Pseudoclavibacter chungangensis. RNAcentral describes it as "bacterial SSU rRNA". It matches the Rfam family "Bacterial small subunit ribosomal RNA", at positions 24 to 740 of the family's 1533-position model. The record is from RNAcentral. Lineage: Bacteria; Bacillati; Actinomycetota; Actinomycetes; Micrococcales; Microbacteriaceae.
UCAGGACGAACGCUGGCGGCGUGCUUAACACAUGCAAGUCGAACGAUGAAGCUGGAGCUUGCUCUGGUGGAUUAGUGGCGAACGGGUGAGUAACACGUGAGCAACGUGCCCUUGACUCUGGAAUAACUUCGGGAAAUCGGAGCUAAUACUGGAUAUGAGAUGCGGCCGCAUGGUCURUGUCUGGAAAGAUUUAUCGGUUGGGGAUCGGCUCACGGCCUAUCAGCUUGUUGGUGAGGUAAUGGCUCACCAAGGCGACGACGGGUAGCCGGCCUGAGAGGGUGACCGGCCACACUGGGACUGAGACACGGCCCAGACUCCUACGGGAGGCAGCAGUGGGGAAUAUUGCACAAUGGGCGCAAGCCUGAUGCAGCAACGCCGCGUGAGGGAUGACGGCCUUCGGGUUGUAAACCUCUUUUGGCAGGGAAGAAGCGAAAGUGACGGUACCUGCAGAAAAAGCACCGGCUAACUACGUGCCAGCAGCCGCGGUAAUACGUAGGGUGCAAGCGUUGUCCGGAAUUAUUGGGCGUAAAGAGCUCGUAGGCGGUUUGUCGCGUCUGCUGUGAAAUCCCGAGGCUCAACCUCGGGCCUGCAGUGGGUACGGGCAGACUAGAGUGCGGUAGGGGAGAUUGGAAUUCCUGGUGUAGCGGUGGAAUGCGCAGAUAUCAGGAGGAACACCGAUGGCGAAGGCAGAUCUCUGGGCCGCUAC